This 497-nucleotide ribosomal RNA is filed under the name uncultured bacterium. RNAcentral's name for it is "partial 16S ribosomal RNA". It matches the Rfam family "Bacterial small subunit ribosomal RNA", at positions 28 to 507 of the family's 1533-position model. The record is from RNAcentral.
GAUGAACGCUGGCGGCGUGCCUAAUACAUGCAAGUCGAGCGAACGGACGAGAAGCUUGCUUCUCUGAUGUUAGCGGCGGACGGGUGAGUAACACGUGGAUAACCUACCUAUAAUACUGGUAUAACUUCGGGAAACCGUAGCUAAUACCGGAUAAUAUUUUGAACCGCAUGGUUCAAAAGUGAAAGACGGUCUUGCUGUCACUUAUAGAUGGAUCCGGGCUGCAUUAGCUAGUUGGUAAGGUAACGGCUUACCAAGGCAACGAUGCAUAGCCGACCUGAGAGGGUGAUCGGCCAAACUGGAAGGGAGACACGGUCCAGAGUCCUACGGGAGGCAGCAGUAGGGAAUCUGCCGCAAUGGGCGAAAGCCUGACGGAGCAACGCCGCGUGAGAGAUGAAGGUCUUCGGAUCGUAAAACUCUGUUAUUAGGGAAGAACAUAUGUGUAAGUAAAUGUGCACAGAGUGACGGUACCUAAUCAGAAAGCAACGGCUAACUACGUG